Molecule: ribosomal RNA, 484 nt
Filed under: uncultured bacterium
Lineage: Bacteria
Description: partial 16S ribosomal RNA
Rfam family: Bacterial small subunit ribosomal RNA
Source: RNAcentral
AGUGAACGCUGGCGGCAGGCCUAACACAUGCAAGUCGAGCGGAAGAAGGGUGCGUGCUCCUGGAUUCAGGGGCGGAGGGGCGAGUAAGUCCGAGGAAUAUGGCUAGUAGCUUGUUAGAACGUCAGGAAACGGGCGCUAAUACGGCAUACGUCCUGAGGGAGUAAGGGGGAGAUCUUCGGACCUCACGCUAUCAGGUGAUCCUAGGUCGGAUUAGCUAGUUGGUGGGGUAAAGGCCUACCAAGGCGACGAUCCGUAGCUGGUCUGAGAGGAUGAUCAGUCACACUGGAACUGAGACACGGUCCAGACUCCUACGGGAGGCAGCAGUGGGGAAUAUUGGACAAUGGGCGCAAGCCUGAUCCAGCCAUGCCGCGUGUGUGAAGAAGGUCUUCGGAUUGUAAAGCCCUUUAGGUUGGGAAGAAGAGCAGUAGGUUAAUACCUUGCUGUUCUGACGUUACCCAAAGAAUAAGCACCGGCUAACUUCGUG